Long non-coding RNA from Brassica napus (rape), 649 nucleotides. RefSeq lists it as uncharacterized. The record is from RefSeq and is a predicted model, not a curated record. The transcript is spliced from 2 exons. NCBI's taxonomy places the organism in Eukaryota, Viridiplantae, Streptophyta, Magnoliopsida, Brassicales, Brassicaceae.
AGCUUUGUCUUAACGGAUAUAUAUUAUUACUACAAAACAGAGGAGUUUGAAAAAAAAAAAGAAAAAAAAAGGAGUUUGAACAAAAAGGACUUUGAGAUUUGCGUGACAGCAUACCAUGUUUGGUCCGGUCGAAGGACAACAAGAGGAUGAGGAAGAUGAAGAAGGCUCCUUGCUCUGAUAGGACACACCGUGAAUAGAAGAUAACGACGACGGAUCAUGAUGAUCCACAGCUAAAAGAGAUAUCAGAGAAAAAGGAGAGAAUACAAGGGGCUGAGCUUGGUUGGUAUGAAUGACGAUAGUGCAUAGAAGAGAGAGAGAGAGAGGGGGAGAGUCAGAGAGAGACUUGUUAAGUUUUAAGAGCCACAAAUGCUGUGGCCACUAUAAAGGAUCCUUUUCACGCUCUUUUAGAUUCCCCCGUUCUAGUGCUGCUUAAAAGAUUUUAGCCAUCUUUCUUUGUUGCCAUGUCGGAUUUUUCCUUUUUAUUUAAUUUAAAAGAUAUGGAGAAACACAAACACUUGGUUCGUAGUGUCUGGUUUAGCCAAAAAGCAUUUACAAGAAUAUGUAUAUUUACAUUUUUACCAAAAAUUGGUAAUAAUAAUCUUUACAUUUUUACCAAAAAAAAUAAUAAUAUGUAUAUUUGUAGUGGUUA